AGCUUGAUAUGGUGUGGUGAGUUUGAGCUAUGUAAAAAACAUACUACCAUGUCAUUCCAUCAAUGUAGAUUAUCUUAAUGAUGUCAGAUUUUUUAAUGAGCAAUCUGUCAUAAGUAUGUUAGGAUACUCUGUAUGUUUGGGUUAAUUAUAUUAUACUCCUUUAUCUGACUCUUAGAAUAUAAACAUGGCAUGAUCAGCCAAGUUCAAAAAAAAGAAGCACUUGAGAACUCCCAGAAAUGAACAAGAUAAUGAAGGGAAUAACAAGAGGCUUCAAAGAAUUUAACGGCCUUGCCUAAAACUGUGGAGUUAACAAGUGAUGGACCAGGGAUUCGAAUACAAAGAUUUAUAUGUACAUUGAAAUAAGGGUUAUUUCCAACUUACGGUUGAAGUUCAUCCUGCUUCUCUUUUUGACAGGCAACAAUUUUUCUUGGAAAGAACAUCAAGGUGAUAGAAUUUUAAUCUGAAUAUAAAUUCCAUAUCUGCAUUCCUUGGGAAGGUAAUAAGCUCAUUUCCUACAGUAAAAUAUGAGUAAUUCUAAAGACCAAAUUCAUCUAUAUCAUAAGAAUGUUGUUAAAAUAAAAUAAGGGGUUAAUGGGUUUGAAAAUACACAGAGGGAAAACAUUUCAUCCAAAUGCCAAAUGUUAUUCUAUUUUUUUGACAAUUUGUAAACUUCUGCUUCUGUACAUUUUCAAGUCACAAAUUGUAUGUUUACAUGUUGAAUACUUAUGCUUAAUUAAAUUUGAAGGGAUCAUAGGCAAUAUCAUUGAAAAGGUAAUGGGAUAUAUUUUAGUGAAGAGAAAUUUAAAGGACUUUACAUCCAACUGCCAAGCAUUAAUAAUGCCCAAUCAAACUUUUCUGGAGAAGUUUACUCUAGUCACUCCCAUUUGGGAUGCCAUUUGUAGUUUGAGUAUCUUGAGUUAAAGUUUUAUUUUUGACUGAACGAUGUUGGUUGUAAAUAUGCCUGUAAAUUAGAUAGA
Long non-coding RNA from Symphalangus syndactylus (siamang), 977 nucleotides. RefSeq lists it as uncharacterized. NCBI's taxonomy places the organism in Eukaryota, Metazoa, Chordata, Mammalia, Primates, Hylobatidae. The record is from RefSeq and is a predicted model, not a curated record.